UCCCCUCCUUUUACUUUUCCAAGAGUUCGUGCUCUCAUUUUUUUUAUAAAAUAUCUAUACUAUUUCAAGGGGCGAAAAAACUUGAACCAUAGCAUUCAAAGGAAGCUUACCUACUCAGUUUCUUGUUAAUGAUAAAAAAAAAUUGAACCAUACUACAUAGACAACUUACUCAGGACUCGCGUAUGGAUGCAAUGUAAAAUAUUAAAAUAUAAUAUAAAAUGUUAAAAAUCAAUACCGUUCCCAGUACUAUUAUUUUACACGAGGUACAUCCGUAAAGCGGAGGAACUCUAAUAUUUUAUUAUUGAAUAACAUGGUUCUAUUUUUUUUAUGAGAUUAUUAGCCACGGUAAUUGAUAAGAGGGGCGAAAAACAUGAGGAAGAAAAAGAGGGAGGAGGGCGCU
RNAcentral lists this long non-coding RNA (400 nucleotides) under Elaeis guineensis (African oil palm). RNAcentral's name for it is "long non-coding RNA (EGUI_LNC001023)". Lineage: Eukaryota; Viridiplantae; Streptophyta; Magnoliopsida; Arecales; Arecaceae. The record is from RNAcentral.